AAGUCGUAACAAGGUUUCCGUAGGUGAACCUGCGGAAGGAUCAUUAAUUAUAUGUAAUUAUUAUGAUUAUAUUUAAUUAGCCACAUAAUUUGAUGUAUUAGAUUAAGCUUCGGCUUAUGAUAAUUCUGAAGAUUUAAUGGCAUUCUUCUCUUUAGUUUUAAUCUUUUGAUUGAAACGUUAAUUCAGGCCUAAAAACCUGAAUCUAUAUCAAUGUUAAAUUUUAAUUUAUCAAAACUAUAUUCUAAUUAUUAAUUAAUUUUAAUUUUUAAUAACUAAUAACAAUGGAUCUCUUGGCACUG
This 299-nucleotide unclassified non-coding RNA is filed under the name air metagenome. Its description in RNAcentral is "partial contains small subunit ribosomal RNA and internal transcribed spacer 1". The stretch from base 1 to 46 matches the Rfam family "Eukaryotic small subunit ribosomal RNA", at positions 1786 to 1831 of the family's 1831-position model. The record is from RNAcentral.